GUGCACGCUGGCGGUAGGCCUAACACAUGCAAGUCGAACGGCAGCACAGUAAGAGCUUGCUCUUACGGGUGGCGAGUGGCGGACGGGUGAGGAAUACAUCGGAAUCUACUUUUUUGUGGGGGAUAACGUAGGGAAACUUACGCUAAUACCGCAUACGACCUACGGGUGAAAGCAGGGGAUCUUCGGACCUUGCGCGAUUGAAUGAGCCGAUGUCGGAUUAGCUAGUUGGCGGGGUAAAGGCCCACCAAGGCGACGAUCCGUAGCUGGUCUGAGAGGAUGAUCAGCCACACUGGAACUGAGACACGGUCCAGACUCCUACGGGAGGCAGCAGUGGGGAAUAUUGGACAAUGGGCGCAAGCCUGAUCCAGCCAUACCGCGUGGGUGAAGAAGGCCUUCGGGUUGUAAGGCCCUUUUGUUGGGAAAGAAAAGCAGCAGGUUAAUACCCCGCUGUUCUGACGGUACCCAAAGAAUAAGCACCGGCUAACUUCGUG
This 491-nucleotide ribosomal RNA is filed under the name uncultured bacterium. RNAcentral's name for it is "partial 16S ribosomal RNA". It matches the Rfam family "Bacterial small subunit ribosomal RNA", at positions 29 to 507 of the family's 1533-position model. The record is from RNAcentral.